GAUAUGUGACGACAUUUGAUAAAGGAAUCUUACAGCUGAUAUUUUAAUGUAGAAUUCUACUAGUAGAGUAAAAUAAGAAGGGGCAAAUGAAUUGAUCUUGUCUCUGGUGACGAAGUCACUAUCAUUCAGAGUCAGGAUUCCUGACUUUGGAUUCUCAAGUUAUUGUCACGAACUUUUUAAUCGUGGAUCUAGAAAUUCUUUCAAGGGGAAGGCACAACAUUUCAAAGUGGCCAAACGGAAAAUUGUUCUCUUGCCAUCAUGAACAGUCUACUUUGUAUAUAAGUAGGCGUUCAAAAAGUAAGGAAUCAUAACAAUACAAACAAUUUCCCUUAUUCAUUGGACACAUAAUGUUAAAACACAUCUAGCGAAUCAAAUAAAAUGUAAUGAUGUAAAUGAUCAUUUUUUUUUAACGUAAAAGUUUCUUCUAAAUAAAUAAAAUUUGGCAUGUAGAUGCACGUAGUGACGCAACCACUAAGCUUGUAAACGGAUGUGCCUUCUGCCUUAUCAGAGGAUUAAAAAGAUGGUCUAGAGUAUGUAAGUCUUUCAUCUUCUGUAUCUUGCAUACCCAGCACACUUGGUUUUUGUAGCACUGGGCGCUCAGAAUUAAAACGUUUUAAGACGCUUUUUGAUAAAUUUUAGGAGAGAAAUUUAACAAUUUUCAUUUUAAGAAUAUUUUUUUAUGGGUAUUACUUAUGCAAAAUUCUAGCUAUAAUACCAUACACAUAGACGAGAUACAGGUACAAACUUAAUCAGUAAGAUGCUAAACCAAAGCAUUCUGGUUCAAAAUCUUCUAGUGAGUCAAGUACCAUUGUAGCAUUAGUUGUUAAUUCUCUUGGU
Molecule: long non-coding RNA, 837 nt
Organism: Daktulosphaira vitifoliae (grape phylloxera)
Lineage: Eukaryota; Metazoa; Arthropoda; Insecta; Hemiptera; Phylloxeridae
Exons: 3
Source: RefSeq, a predicted model, not a curated record